UAUUUUCUCUCCUAUUUAAAAAUACCUUCCACUUCCAGUUGUGGACCAGAUAUUCUUGAAUACUCUUGCAAAUUGUGUAUUAUUAUUACUUUUAUUAUCAGCUAACAAUUUGGCACUCAAUAUAUUCCGUUUUUGAAUAAAAGGUUUGUUUUCCAAGUUGAGUGAUGGAAACUAGUGCAAAAUCCAAUAGUACUACUGGAAGAGAGCAUUCCAGCUAUUGCUCAACCACUUUCUGAAGAACCUACUGAGAUUACAUCUAACAUCAAGUAUCAUGCUCAUUUUAGUCCUCAUUUCUCUCCUUUCAAGUUUAAGCCUGAACUAUUCUACUGCUGACAGUGUUCGUGAUCGCUUGAUCAAAGUUCUGAGGCUCAGUCUAGGGGUCCGGAAAAGCAAUAGAUUUUAUCAGACAGAGUUGCAGUGCCCAGUUGGUGAGCCUUCUUUAUUCCAGAAGGCCUGUUUACUUUCAGACAACUAUUAUUAGAUAUGGUUUUGGUCUACUGGGGGCCUUACUGUCAGAUUUUCAUGUAGUACAGAUUUCGCAGAUUGAGUCAGAUGUUAUUUAGAUGUAGUUGAUUUACAGUUUCCAUACUUAUGAUGAAUUCAGAAUU
Capsicum annuum is the source of this 608-nucleotide long non-coding RNA. RefSeq lists it as uncharacterized. The record is from RefSeq and is a predicted model, not a curated record. Lineage: Eukaryota; Viridiplantae; Streptophyta; Magnoliopsida; Solanales; Solanaceae. The transcript has 3 exons.